GAUGAACGCUAGCGGCAGGCCUAAUACAUGCAAGUCGAGGGGUAUGGGUUGCUUGCAACCCGGAGACCGGCGCAGGGGGGGGUAACCGUAACGCAUGUUCCUUAAAUCUGGGGGAAAGCCGGGGGAAUACCGGAUAAACCCUGCUAACCAUUGAUUUUUGGCAUCACAUUUAACCCAAGUUUUUUUAGGUUUAUGUUAAGCUUGCAUGACAUUAGUUAGUUGGUGAGGUAACGGCCAACCAAGACCACGAUCCUAAGGGGAUCUGAGAGGAGGCCCCCCCAUACUGGUACUGAGACACGGACCAGACUCCUACGGGAGGCAGCAGUAAGGAAGAUGGGGCGAUGGGCGCAAGCCUGAACCAGCCAUGCCGCGUGCAGGAAGCCGGCCCUAUGGGUUGUAAACUGCUUUUGGACCGGAAUAAACCUUCUCUGGCGAGAGAAGCUGAACGUACGGUAAGAAUAAGGAUCGGCUAACUCCGUG
Molecule: ribosomal RNA, 480 nt
Filed under: uncultured bacterium
Lineage: Bacteria
Description: partial 16S ribosomal RNA
Rfam family: Bacterial small subunit ribosomal RNA
Source: RNAcentral